Molecule: ribosomal RNA, 327 nt
Filed under: uncultured eukaryote
Lineage: Eukaryota
Description: partial 18S ribosomal RNA
Rfam family: Eukaryotic small subunit ribosomal RNA
Source: RNAcentral
CCCUUAGAUGUUCUGGGCUGCACGCGCGCUACACUGAAGCUAUCAACACGUUUUCCCUCCCUGAGAAGGGCGGGUAACCUUUUGAAUCAGCUUCGUGGUAGGGAUCGGGGCUUGCAAUUGUUCCCCGUGAACCAGGAAUUCCUAGUAGACGCGAGUCAUAAGCUCGCAUCGAUUAAGUCCCUGCCCUUUGUACACACCGCCCGUCGCUCCUACCGAUUGAAUGAUCCGGUGAGUUUUUUGGACUGUGGCAACGGUCUUGGUUCGCCAAACUGAUGCCGCGGGAAGAUACGCAAACCUUAUCAUUUAGAGGAAGGAGAAGUCGUAACA